This 798-nucleotide long non-coding RNA is filed under the name Capsella grandiflora. Its description in RNAcentral is "long non-coding RNA (CGRA_LNC001231)". The record is from RNAcentral. Lineage: Eukaryota; Viridiplantae; Streptophyta; Magnoliopsida; Brassicales; Brassicaceae.
UCGGAUUUAUCAAGCUUAAUCUGUCAUGUUUAAAUUGAAUUUUCAUGUUUAAAACCUGUUUUUCUCUUGUGUUAAAUUGAGCUUAGCAAGAGACUAGUUCAAUUAAAUUUUGUUCUCUUUUGCCUCAAUCUAGCUUAAUAUUAUUCUUGUGGCCAAUAUACUUAAGAUUUCUUUAGAUCUUUUUUUGUUGAAGGUGCAAAAGGAAAGAAAGCCAUCCAAAAGCUAGAUGAGAAGAAGAGAACCAGAUGGAUCAUUCUAGCUUGACUCAAGGAAGAUCAAUUCAUGGUGGUGACCGAGAGGGAAAAGGCCCUCAAGCGAGUACACACACGGAGGAUUAGAGUCUCAACAAGAAGUCAAAGCAAGAAGCCAAAGAGAUCUCACAUUCAAACCAUGGUCAUAGCUACAUAAUUCAACCGUGAAGACUAUACUCUUUUCCCCUUAACAAAGUUUUGUCCCAUGAGGUUUUCUUUGUUAAGGUUUUUAAUGAGGUAGUUAUUUGCGUGUUGCAAGCUUGGCCUUUGGUUCCCGCUGCCCAAGCUUGAGGUUAGAGAGGAAGAAGAGAAAGGAGAACCUAAGGCCGAAGUCUAGAAGACGAGGCCGAGCUUAAUGGUGUUCAAUGAAGUGUGACACUCAACUAGGCUCGUUUAUCUUUAAGCUUAACCUCCCAUGUCUCUACACUUAAGCUUGAGGGGGAGUCUUAAGUAUGUCAAGAUAGAAUAGACCAUUAUGUUCUACUUUAUAUUGGUCUAUUCUAUAUUGACUAAGUUAGGAUAGUAUAGACCAUUAGGCUCGUCUCUA